UAAAGCAUUCAACAUGGUGUCAGGCA
RNAcentral lists this non-coding RNA (26 nucleotides) under Homo sapiens (human). Lineage: Eukaryota; Metazoa; Chordata; Mammalia; Primates; Hominidae. The record is from RNAcentral.